This is a long non-coding RNA of Gorilla gorilla gorilla (western lowland gorilla), 675 nucleotides long. RefSeq lists it as uncharacterized. The transcript has 3 exons. NCBI's taxonomy places the organism in Eukaryota, Metazoa, Chordata, Mammalia, Primates, Hominidae. The record is from RefSeq and is a predicted model, not a curated record.
UCUGUUCACACGAUUCAUAGGCUGCCUGGACCCCUGGGACAAUGGCCAGCUCCUGGACAUCACCCUGCAAAGACAUGAGAGAGAUGGAGCGGAGAGAUUCAGAGAGAGGCAGAGGGUAUCAUCUGGGAGAAAGAGUAUAGGAGGCCAAUCCUAGAUAAGUUCCAUGCAGAAAAGCCCAAAAAGGCAAUGACUGCCCCAAGGUCACCCAGAGUGGCAGAAUCAGGACCAGAUCCCAGGCCUUCCAGAAUUCUUUGCCGCCCCUCUGCGCUUUGUGGCAAUGCAUGAGCCCUUCCACGGUGGCUUCCAGAGACAGGGCUCAGCUUUAGAUGCCUUGGCCUUCCAAUGGCAGUGAUGAUGAGAAUUCUCUGGACCUCUAGAAAUGGAGUGGGGAGAAUCCAUUCCUGAGUUCCAGUGGCAUUUACUUUUGCCCACACAUGGUGCUUAGCAUACUCUCCAUUGCACCGUAAUUUAGGGAUGUUGUCUCGUUUCCAGAGCCCACCUGGGAGCUCUUGGGGGUGAUAGAGACUUCAUAUUCUCUUCUUUGUUCUCCUUGUCCAGCAGACUUCUUCAUCCAGAAUACGGGCACCAAAGAUGAUCACUCCAUGGGUGUCCAAUACUGGAUGAGCACUUCGGGGGAGAGGCCGGGUGACUCGCUUCUUGCAGUCAACAAUGAGG